This is a long non-coding RNA of Sarcophilus harrisii (Tasmanian devil), 2223 nucleotides long. The record is from Ensembl. Lineage: Eukaryota; Metazoa; Chordata; Mammalia; Dasyuromorphia; Dasyuridae.
GGAGCCUGGAGGGGCUUGGAGGGCAGAGGAGGAGCCCGGAGGAAGGAAGGCUGAGGAGGCUCUUGGGGGAGGAUGGCUUAGUCUGGACAGGAAAAGGGCUGGAGCAAGAGGUUGAGAAGGGCUCUAGGAGGAGCUCUGGGCCCAGGACAGCUGCCCCCCAGCCAGAGACAGAGAUCCCUCGGGUUGGAUCACCGGCUUUGUGGCCCUCUCCCUAACUCCAUCAGGUAGGCAAGGUGCAUUGUGGGAGGGGAGGGAGGCCUGCCAGUCCUGCUUGGCUGCUUGGGUCUGAGAGGGGCUUCAUCAGCCCCCAGUCCCGGGGGGUCUCUGGCAGCGCCGGGUCCAGGAGGCGAGAGCUGACGUCUUUUCAUUAUGGCGCCUCUUGUUCUCUAGCCUGUUCCAAUUACCAGCGCCUGUUACUUAUUUAUGAACAAACAAACAUUAUUACGCUCUACCGGAAAGGCUUGGGGGUAGAUCGCUGGGGGCCCUGGGACCUGUAUUACAGCCCGGGUGCCCCACUCUGUGCCACACACAGGAUGAAACAGUUCCUGCCCCAGAGGGUUACCCAAAGGAAACAGAAAGCAUGCGGUCAGUUUGGGGAGGGAGUGGAGCUAGCUGCUCCUUGAAUCCCUGCGGGCUUCAUGGAGGCUGCGCUGAGCCUUGAAGGAGCCAGUCAGAGAUGCAAAAGUAAACUUCCAGGUGCGGGGGGGUGGGGGGGGGGGGGGGGGGGGGGGGGGGGGGGGGGGAGCCUGGGACAAAGGUCUGGAAGCUGGAGCUGUAACGCUGCCCUGGAUGGGUGGCCAGGGGACAGCCUGAGGGGGCGCCGGCCCGGGCCAGAAUCAAAAAUCGAGGUUUCUCGGAAAAGGCAGUUUAGGGACCUUGACUGGGCCGGGAGGGAAAACACGGGGGGGUGGCAACCUGAGGAAGGGUUACUGGGGGCUGAGGAGCUGCCAUUGGAAAGGCCUUGAAUGACAGGUUGAAGAGCCUGCCGUUGAGAACGGUGCCCCCUUGCUCGGGAAGCCGCCCCGGACCUCCCUCCCUCUGCUGCCGGUGGAAGCCUCUCCAAGCCUAAUUUGGAAGCGACGGCGCCGAGAACUUGGGGCUGGGCCGGGGCCGGACCCUGGUCCCCAGCCCGGGGGUCUGUGUGCCGGCCGUCAGUCCGCGUCUCGCUCUCCCCGGGUCCAAGCCCUCCCGGCCCGGGCCAGGAACGAGACCCCCACUCUCCGGAGCCCCCCGCGCCGCUGCUGAGGGUCAGCCGCCUCCUUCGCCUGGCGGGGCGCCCGGGUCCGUUCUCCCUUUGUCCGGGUCCGGCCCGGCCCGCGCGCCCCGCGGUCCCGGCCAAGCCGAGCCGGAGGGGCGGGGGCGGUCCGGCCCCAACCUCUUGUCCCGGGCCGUCGGGCCCCCUCCGCCCCCGCCCUCCUCUCUCGGGUUUCCUCUUCCUCCCGCCUCCUUCGCUCGACGCCGGUGUGUGCGGGGCCCCGGCGGAGCCCGGGCCGGGAGGAAGGAGGAGAAGGGGUGGCGGCGGCCGGGCUGGGCAGAGCGGAGCUCGCGAGGGCCCGGCUCGGGGAGACCUUGGGGGGCUUCUCGCCCUGCUUCCCCGCCUCGGCUUCGGCCGCGAACCCCGGGCGCCGCCGCCUCGGCUGCUUGGUCCCGCGUCUGCCCGGCUCCCGAGGCGUCCCCGCCGCCAGCCCGGACCCCCGAAAGUCCGGAGACUCCAGGCCCGGGGCAGUCCUGCAGUCCCGCCGCGGCCCGGGCGGCCAGAUCCCCAGGCGCCAGCACGGGUUCUCUGGGUGCUCCCCCUGACCUCCCCUUGCUCCUGGGCGGCCCCAUGGCUCAGCCCAUUCCAUCCCCUGGGGAGAAACGUCUCGGGCCACGUCCUCAUCCCUGACCCGGGACCCCCGCCCAGCCGCAGACAGUGGGCCUAAGAGAACUGGGCGUUGGGUGCCCGCGGAUGCCCAAGACUUCCAGGGCCGGUGUGAGCGGCCAACAGCCCAGCAUGGAGCCCGGCGUCCGGGGCACCGGGCAGAUGGCCUUCCUCAGCAAUCUGCUGGCGGCUUACUCCUUCAUCAGUGAGCACCCUGAGCGCGCGGCCCUGUGCUUCGUGUCCGGCGUGUGCGUGGGGCUCGUGCUCACGCUGGCCGCCUUGGUGCUGACCGUGUCCUGCCGCGCCGACUGCCGGCCGCGGCGCGGGAAGAAGGGCCCGGCCGGGCGCCGCGGCGGCAGCUG